RNAcentral lists this ribosomal RNA (380 nucleotides) under uncultured organism. Its description in RNAcentral is "partial 16S ribosomal RNA". It matches the Rfam family "Bacterial small subunit ribosomal RNA", at positions 524 to 896 of the family's 1533-position model. The record is from RNAcentral.
GGGGGGGGGGGCAAGCGUUGUUCGGAAUUACUGGGCGUAAAGGGCGCGCAGGCGGGCUGGAGAAGUUCUGGGGGUGAAAGCCCCCGGGCUCAACCGGGGAAGGUCCUGGAAAAACCAUCUGGCUGGAGUGCUGGAGAGGCAAGCGGAAUUUCUGGUGUAGCGGUGAAAUGCGUAGAUAUCAGAAGGAACAUCGGAGGCGAAGGCGGCUUGCUGGACAGACACUGACGCUGAGGCGCGAAAGCCAGGGGAGCGAACGGGAUUAGAUACCCCGGUAGUCCUGGCUGUAAACGAUGGGUACUUGGUGUGUGGGGUGAGAAGUCCCUACGUGCCGGCGAUAACUCGUUAAGUACCCCGCCUGGGGAGUACGAUCGCAAAGAUUG